GACGAACGCUGGCGGCGUGCUUAACACGUGCAAGUCGAACGGAAAGGCCCUGCUUUUGUGGGGUGCUCGAGUGGCGAACGGGUGAGUAACACGUGAGUAACCUGCCCUUGACUUUGGGAUAACUUCAGGAAACUGGGGCUAAUACCGGAUAGGAGCUCCUGCUGCAUGGUGGGGGUUGGAAAGUUUCGGCGGUUGGGGAUGGACUCGCGGCUUAUCAGCUUGUUGGUGGGGUAGUGGCUUACCAAGGCUUUGACGGGUAGCCGGCCUGAGAGGGGGACCGGCCACAUUGGGACUGAGAUACGGCCCAGACUCCUACGGGAGGCAGCAGGGGGGAAUAUUGCACAAUGGGCGGAAGCCUGAUGCAGCAACGCCGCGUGCGGGAUGACGGCCUUCGGGUUGUAAACCGCUUUCGCCUGUGACGAAGCGUGAGUGACGGCAAUGGGUAAAGAAGCACCGGCUAACUACGUG
RNAcentral lists this ribosomal RNA (468 nucleotides) under uncultured bacterium. Its description in RNAcentral is "partial 16S ribosomal RNA". It matches the Rfam family "Bacterial small subunit ribosomal RNA", at positions 28 to 507 of the family's 1533-position model. The record is from RNAcentral.